This 567-nucleotide ribosomal RNA is filed under the name Triticum aestivum (bread wheat). RNAcentral's name for it is "partial small subunit ribosomal RNA". Lineage: Eukaryota; Viridiplantae; Streptophyta; Magnoliopsida; Poales; Poaceae. The record is from RNAcentral.
AUGGAGACACAGACAAGCUCGCCAGCGGCCGCCGCCGCGCCGCUUCCCCCGGACGAUCUCCUUCGGGAGAUAUUCCUGCGCCUCCCGCCGGAGCCGAUCCACCUCUUCCGCGCCUCCUUCGUCUGCAAGCACUGGCGCGGCCUCGUCCAUGACGCCCGCUUCCUCCGCCGCUUCCAUGAUUUCCACGGCGGCACACCUCCCGUGCUCGGCUUCUUCAACCAGAAAGGGCCUCCCUUCUUCGUCCCCGCCUCUGGCAGCUUCGCGCUCUCCACCGCCACGAUGUCCCCAGAUGACUGGUGGGCCCUCGACUGCCGCCACGGCCGCGCCCUCAUUGAGAGUUGCCGCACUAGGAUGCUACUUGUCUGGGACCUCGUGACCGGCGACAAGCAGUACCUACCGCUCCCCGCGCAGGACUAUGCUCAGUACAAUGGCGUGGUUCUGUGCGCGGCCGGCCACGCCGACCACCGCGACUGCCAUUUGUGCCCGUUUCUCGUGGUGUUCGUGUUCAGUGACGACAGGGAUUUCAUCACCUCCGCAUGCGUCUUCUCGUCCGUGACCGGUGCCUAG